GUCACUCCGGCUGAAGAACAGAGCCGUGGCCAGCAGACAAGAGGCAGAGUUGGGCCAGAUCCCAUCUGUCCACAGGUUUCCAGAACAGAACCAGCCUAUUCUGGCCCAAGCCUGGAGUGGAUAGCAUGUCACCACCUCCCUUGUAAGAGGAGUCCAGGUCACGAGACUACGAUGACCCGGCUUUGCAAGUUGCUGGUUUUGUAAAUUCUCCAUGCACUGAUGUCAUACACCUAUCCAUCCAUCAUAAGCUCCUGGUCGUUUCAAGGAUUCCAACUCUCAGCCUGCGCUGAAGGCGGGAGCCUCGCUCUGUGCCUGGGCUGGCCACUGUCCAGCUGUCCUCUCUCUCCUUCGUGCUCUGGAAGCUCUGAUGAAGUGAGUGGCAGCUGUGCGCGUUGAGAUGCUGAGCAGGAGUUCAGGUGCUGGGAGGAGAUUUUCUCCCUUGGGAAGAAGCGGUUCUCAGAGGCCAAACAUCUUCCCUGAAGAGAAGCAGAGGGAAAAAUCAGAGCAGGGAGAGGUGAAACCG
Lagenorhynchus albirostris (white-beaked dolphin) is the source of this 523-nucleotide long non-coding RNA. RefSeq lists it as uncharacterized. The transcript has 3 exons. The record is from RefSeq and is a predicted model, not a curated record. NCBI's taxonomy places the organism in Eukaryota, Metazoa, Chordata, Mammalia, Artiodactyla, Delphinidae.